Molecule: ribosomal RNA, 506 nt
Filed under: uncultured bacterium
Lineage: Bacteria
Description: bacterial SSU rRNA
Rfam family: Bacterial small subunit ribosomal RNA
Source: RNAcentral
AGAGUUUGAUCAUGGCUCAGGACGAACGCUGGCGGCGUGCUUAACACAUGCAAGUCACGGGGGCUCGCAAGAGCAACCGGCGAACGGGUGCGUAACACGUGAGCAACCUGCCGAUCCGCGGGGGAUAGCCGGCCCAACGGCCGGGUAAUACCGCAUACGCUUGUCUGGGGGAGUCCCCGGACACGGAAACCUCCGGGGCGGAUCGAGGGGCUCGCGGCCUAUCAGCUAGUUGGCGAGGUCACGGCUCACCAAGGCGACGACGGGUAGCUGGUCUGAGAGGAUGGCCAGCCACAUUGGGACUGAGAAACGGCCCAGACUCCUACGGGAGGCAGCAGUGGGGAAUCUUGCGCAAUGGCCGAAAGGCUGACGCAGCGACGCCGCGUGUGGGAUGACGCAUUUCGGUGUGUAAACCACUGUUGCCCGGGACGAACAUCCUCUUUCGAGAGGACUGACGGUACCGGGUGAGGAAGCACCGGCUAACUCCGUGCCAGCAGCCGCGGUAAUUC